AUUUUUUUAAGCCCAAAACGAAAAAAGCCCCCGCAAGCACCGGGCCUUACAUAAGGAAGCCGCCUAACGCCUUCAUGGUGUUUAUGAAAGAGCAGCGACCAUUUGUUAAGGCUGCUGCAGAAGGGAAAGACAGCACCACUGUCUCUCCUGGGUCAGAUGGUGAGUGUGUUUGCCACCAUCAUGUCCUCGUCAUCGCUUGUCUGCUGUCAGUUUGGGAUUGCGGGCUGACACUUUGAUUGUGUCCGUACGGAAGUCGCUGUCGCUGGCCCGGCAGCAGCCAUAUUACGCUGAAUCUGAACGGCUAAGCCGGAUCCACGCAGCCAUGAACCCAGACUGGAACUGCAGAGACAACUAUGUGAGUCCCAGAUUCAUUUAGUCGUGAUACAGUGGAGCGCAUGGAGUCAACAAUUACUCGAAUAUAUAUAUUUUUUUAACUUUUUGUUUGUUGUUUUUGUUUCGGGGAAAAGGCCAAAGAGGAAGUGGUGCCGUGCGGCCACCAGCCAAAAUCAUUUGAGCGAAUAUCAUCUAAGCGGUCAGCAGCGCACGCCAAAGGCGACCGUCGACCUAUCUUUUGGAGGGAUGAUAGGGCAGACAUUCUACUAGUGCCCGAGGGUGUCAUUACUCCUGUAAUUGAGCCAGCGAUUUCAAAGGCCAAAACGAAACAACCCCCCGGAAGCACCGGGCAUUACAUCAGAAAGGUGCCUAACGCCUUCUUGGUAUUUAUGAAAGAGCAGCCUCUUGUCAUGGCUGCUGCGGAAGGGCAAGUCCCACUGUCAACAGGCUCCUGGGUCAGAUGGUGAGUGUGUUUGGCACCAACACAUCCUCCUCCUAGCUUGUCUUCUGUCAUUUUGCCAUUGCGCGCUGACACUUUGAUUGAGUCUGCAGUGGAAGUCGCUGUCGCUGGCCAAGCAGCUUGAAUAUUACGUUGAAUCUGAGCGGCUCAGCCGGAUCCACGCCCCCAUGUACCCGGACUGGAACUGCAGAGACAACUAUAUGAGUCCCAAGGAGUCAACAUUUACGGAAACGUUUUUUUUUUUUAAACUUUUUGUUUGUUGUUUUUGUUGAGGGCAAAAGGCCAAAGAGGAAGUGGUGCUGUGCAGCCACCAGCCAAAAUCAUUUAAGCGGUAAGUACACUAUAUCUGAGUAACUGUUUUUAGUUACGAUAAAUCUACCCAGAGUACUACGUUGCUCCGAAAUGCUCCCUUUGCAAAAAUAAUAUAUAGGUGUAUCUCAGCAAUAGUAUUUCAUUUUCGUCGUUAAAAUUAUAUCGCCUUGCCUUCUGACUUUUUCAAAAUUUCCUAAUAAAUGAAAAUUUCUUACAUGUAUUGCACUCAAAAAAUGACUUACUGGAUGAACACAAAUACAUUUUGGUCAGGUUUUCCAUCAAUUCUAACUGUGCAAUUCCAACACAUGCCUAGUACUGUACUUCCAUGUGAUGUUGUAUAAUCGAGUUGGUCUC
Molecule: long non-coding RNA, 1459 nt
Organism: Syngnathoides biaculeatus (alligator pipefish)
Lineage: Eukaryota; Metazoa; Chordata; Actinopteri; Syngnathiformes; Syngnathidae
Exons: 4
Source: RefSeq, a predicted model, not a curated record